This 100-nucleotide signal recognition particle RNA is filed under the name Opitutales bacterium. RNAcentral's name for it is "signal recognition particle sRNA small type". It matches the Rfam family "Bacterial small signal recognition particle RNA". From Rfam's summary of the family: The signal recognition particle (SRP) is a universally conserved ribonucleoprotein involved in the co-translational targeting of proteins to membranes. Archaeal SRP consists of a 7S RNA and homologues of the eukaryotic SRP19 and SRP54 proteins. Lineage: Bacteria; Pseudomonadati; Verrucomicrobiota; Opitutia; Opitutales. The record is from RNAcentral.
GGUUGGGUCGCGAUUGGUGAUCGAUCCGAUGAACCCCGCCAGGUCCGGAAGGAAGCAACGGUAGUCAGGUAAUCUCACGCAAUCGAUGCACUCAGCCUUU